RNAcentral lists this ribosomal RNA (774 nucleotides) under uncultured Neocallimastigales. RNAcentral describes it as "partial large subunit ribosomal RNA". It matches the Rfam family "Eukaryotic large subunit ribosomal RNA", at positions 23 to 647 of the family's 3401-position model. The record is from RNAcentral. Lineage: Eukaryota; Fungi; Neocallimastigomycota; Neocallimastigomycetes; Neocallimastigales.
AGAGAUGUGUGAUGACGCAUAUCAAUAAGCGGAGGAAAAGAAACUAACAAGGAUUCCCUUAGUAACGGCGAGUGAAGCGGGAAGAGCUCAAAUUUGAAAUCUUCAAGGUUCUACCUUGACGAAUUGUAGUUUAUAGAAGUGUUUUCUGUUAGUAGAGUGGCAAAAGUUCUUUGGAAUAGGACAUCAUAGAGGGUGAGAAUCCCGUAUUUGGUCAUUCCUCCUAGCGUUGUGAUACACUUUCAACGAGUCGGAUUGUUUGGGAAUGCAGUCCAAAAUGGGUGGUAAAUUUCAUCUAAAGCUAAAUAUUGGCGAGAGACCGAUAGCGAACAAGUACCGUGAGGGAAAGAUGAAAAGAACUUUGAAAAGAGAGUUAAACAGUACGUGAAAUUGUCAAAAGGGAAGCGUUUGACACCAGUGUUGUUUUUCCGAAAAUCAAUUACGAAUGUUUUGUUUUUGAGGAGUUAUGACUUCAUCGGCUUGCUCCUUUCUUUACGAAACUUUCUUAAUGCACUUUUCGGUUAACAAGUCAACAUCAAUUUCUUUUGUUGUAAAAGGGUACGAGGAAGGUGGCUUUCUUUUCGGAGAAAGUGUUUAUAGCCUUGUGCCUCUGCAAUCGGAGAGAUUGAGGUCUGCAGCGUAGAUCCUUCGGGGUUAGAUACAUUUGUGCUAAGUUAUAGCUUUUCAUAGACAACUUGUUGACUAUGUUAGUCUUGUAGCUUACUCGCUUAUGUCUAUUUUACCUACGCUUAGGAUGUUGAUCUGUAGUGCGUGCGC